UACGUAGGGUGCGAGCGUUAAUCGGAAUUACUGGGCGUAAAGCGUGCGCAGGCGGUUUUGUAAGACAGAUGUGAAAUCCCCGGGCUUAACCUGGGAACUGCGUUUGUGACUGCAAGGCUAGAGUACGGCAGAGGGGGGUGGAAUUCCUGGUGUAGCAGUGAAAUGCGUAGAGAUCAGGAGGAACACCGAUGGCGAAGGCAGCCCCCUGGGCCUGUACUGACGCUCAUGCACGAAAGCGUGGGGAGCAAACAGG
RNAcentral lists this ribosomal RNA (253 nucleotides) under uncultured bacterium. RNAcentral describes it as "partial 16S ribosomal RNA". It matches the Rfam family "Bacterial small subunit ribosomal RNA", at positions 524 to 776 of the family's 1533-position model. RNAcentral also lists the same sequence under 1 other name. The record is from RNAcentral.